UACCAGCACCCCGAGUGGUCGGGACGAUUAUUGGGCCUAAAGCCUCCGUAGCUGGUCCUGCAAGUCCUCCGUUAAAUCCACCCGCUCAACGGUUGGGCCGCGGGGGAUACUACAGGGCUAGGAGGCGGGAGAGGCAAGCGGUACUCGAUGGGUAGGGGUAAAAUCCACUGAUCCAUUGAAGACCACCAGUGGCGAAGGCGGCUUGCCAGAACGCGCUCGACGGUGAGGGAUGAAAGCUGGGGGAGCAAACCGG
Molecule: ribosomal RNA, 253 nt
Filed under: uncultured bacterium
Lineage: Bacteria
Description: partial 16S ribosomal RNA
Rfam family: Archaeal small subunit ribosomal RNA
Source: RNAcentral